This 73-nucleotide transfer RNA is filed under the name Candidatus Aenigmatarchaeota archaeon. RNAcentral's name for it is "tRNA-Gly". It matches the Rfam family "tRNA". Rfam says of the family: Transfer RNA (tRNA) molecules are approximately 80 nucleotides in length. Their secondary structure includes four short double-helical elements and three loops (D, anti-codon, and T loops). The record is from RNAcentral. Lineage: Archaea; Nanobdellati; Candidatus Aenigmatarchaeota.
GCGCCAGUCGUCUAGCCUGGUAGGACACGAGCUUCCCAAGCUCGGAGCCCGGGUUCAAAUCCCGGCUGGCGCA